GCAGUCCAUGGGCAUAUACAC
This 21-nucleotide non-coding RNA is filed under the name Callorhinchus milii (elephant shark). Lineage: Eukaryota; Metazoa; Chordata; Chondrichthyes; Chimaeriformes; Callorhinchidae. The record is from RNAcentral. RNAcentral also lists the same sequence under 36 other names.